GUGGGUAUCGCUCAGUGGUAGAGCGCAUGCUUAACAUGCACAAGGUCCCAGUUUCAAUUCCUAGUACUUCCA
RNAcentral lists this transfer RNA (72 nucleotides) under Camelus bactrianus (Bactrian camel). It matches the Rfam family "tRNA". Rfam says of the family: Transfer RNA (tRNA) molecules are approximately 80 nucleotides in length. Their secondary structure includes four short double-helical elements and three loops (D, anti-codon, and T loops). Further hydrogen bonds mediate the characteristic L-shaped molecular structure. tRNAs have two regions of fundamental functional importance: the anti-codon, which is responsible for specific mRNA codon recognition, and the 3' end, to which the tRNAs corresponding amino acid is attached (by aminoacyl-tRNA synthetases). tRNAs cope with the degeneracy of the genetic code in two manners: having more than one tRNA (with a specific anti-codon) for a particular amino acid; and 'wobble' base-pairing, i.e. permitting non-standard base-pairing at the 3rd anti-codon position. RNAcentral also lists the same sequence under 2 other names. The record is from Rfam by way of RNAcentral. Lineage: Eukaryota; Metazoa; Chordata; Mammalia; Artiodactyla; Camelidae.